This 27-nucleotide non-coding RNA is filed under the name Alexandrium minutum. The record is from RNAcentral. Lineage: Eukaryota; Dinophyceae; Gonyaulacales; Pyrocystaceae.
GCUCAAGCCUUCUACUGUGGCUGUUUG